ACUGUCUUAUUUGCAUAAUUAUACUAGGUUUUACCCAUAUGACUUUCAUAUUUGGUGAGAGAGGAAAGAGUUCCUCAGGGGCCUUGAGGUGGCCCCAGGGUGGCCUCUCUUGCUUAGAGGAACACCACAGGC
Psammomys obesus (fat sand rat) is the source of this 132-nucleotide small nucleolar RNA. RefSeq annotates it as small nucleolar RNA SNORA64/SNORA10 family. The transcript has a single exon. The record is from RefSeq and is a predicted model, not a curated record. Lineage: Eukaryota; Metazoa; Chordata; Mammalia; Rodentia; Muridae.